GGGCAGCAGUGGGGAAUCUUGGACAAUGGGCGCAAGCCUGAUCCAGCCAUGCCGCGUGAGUGAUGAAGGCCUUAGGGUCGUAAAGCUCUUUCGCCAGGGAUGAUAAUGACAGUACCUGGUAAAGAAACCCCGGCUAACUCCGUGCCAGCAGCCGCGGUAAUACGGAGGGGGUUAGGGUUGUUCGGAAUUACUGGGCGUAAAGCGCGCGUAGGCGGGCUAUUAAGUUAGGGGUGAAAUCCCGGGGCUCAACCCCGGAACUGCCUCUAAUACUGGUAGCCUAGAGUUCGAGAGAGGUGAGUGGAAUUCCGAGUGUAGAGGUGGAAUUCGUAGAUAUUCGGAGGAACACCAGUGGCGAAGGCGGCUCACUGGCUCGAUACUGACGCUGAGGUGCGAAAGUGUGGGGAGCAAACAGGAUUAGAUACCCUGGUAGUCCACACCGUAAACGAUGAAUGCCAGUCGUCGGGUAGCAUGCUAUUCGGUGACACACCUAACGGAUUAAGCAUUCCGCCUGGGGAGUACGGUCGCAAGAUUAAAACUCAAAGGAAUUGACGG
This 552-nucleotide ribosomal RNA is filed under the name uncultured Alphaproteobacteria bacterium. Its description in RNAcentral is "bacterial SSU rRNA". It matches the Rfam family "Bacterial small subunit ribosomal RNA", at positions 346 to 916 of the family's 1533-position model. Lineage: Bacteria; Pseudomonadati; Pseudomonadota; Alphaproteobacteria. The record is from RNAcentral.